AUUGAACGCUGGCGGCAGGCCUAAUACAUGCAAGUCGAACGGUAACAUAAAAGAAGCUUGCUUCUUUUGAUGACGAGUGGCGGACGGGUGAGUAAUAUUUGGGAAACUACCUGAUAGAGGGGGACAACAGUUGGAAACGACUGCUAAUACCGCAUAAAGCCUGAGGGUGAAAGCAGCAAUGCGCUAUCAGAUGUGCCCAAACGGGGAUUAGCUAGUAGGUGAGGUAAAGGCUCACCUAGGCGACGAUCUCUAGCUGGUCUGAGAGGAUGAUCAGCCACAUUGGGACUGAGACACGGCCCAGGACUCCUACGGGAGGCAGCAGUAGGGAAUAUUGCACAAUGGAGGAAACUCUGAUGCAGCCAUGCCGCGUGUGUGAAGAAGGCCUUCGGGUUGUAAAGCAACUUUCGGAGGGGAGGAAAAGGAUAGACGUUACCCGUCAGAAG
This 443-nucleotide ribosomal RNA is filed under the name uncultured bacterium. Its description in RNAcentral is "bacterial SSU rRNA". It matches the Rfam family "Bacterial small subunit ribosomal RNA", at positions 30 to 490 of the family's 1533-position model. The record is from RNAcentral.